CUUUCGACAGGCUUAACACAUGCAAGUCGAGGGGCAGCACGGUGUAUCAAUACAUUGGUGGCGACCGGCGCACGGGUGAGUAACGCGUAUGCAACCUACCUAUCAGAGGGGAAUAACCCGGCGAAAGUCGGACUAAUACCGCAUAAAACAGGGGUUCCACAUGGAAAUAUUUGUUAAAGAUUUAUCGCUGAUAGAUGGGCAUGCGUUCCAUUAGAUAGUUGGUGAGGUAACGGCUCACCAAGUCCACGAUGGAUAGGGGUUCUGAGAGGAAGGUCCCCCACACUGGUACUGAGACACGGACCAGACUCCUACGGGAGGCAGCAGUGAGGAAUAUUGGUCAAUGGGCGAGAGCCUGAACCAGCCAAGUCGCGUGAAGGAUGAAGGAUCUAUGGUUUGUAAACUUCUUUUAUAUGGGAAUAAAGUGAGGAACGUGUUCCUUUUUGUAUGUACCAUAUGAAUAAGCAUCGGCUAACUCCGUGCCAGCAGCCGCGGUAAUACGGAGGAUGCGAGCGUUAUCCGGAUUUAUUGGGUUUAAAGGGUGCGUAGGUGGUUUUUUAAGUCAGCGGUGAAAGUUUGUGGCUCAACCAUAAAAUUGCCGUUGAAACUGGGGAACUUGAGUAUAUUUGAGGUAGGCGGAAUGCGUGGUGUAGCGGUGAAAUGCAUAGAUAUCACGCAGAACUCCGAUUGCGAAGGCAGCUUACUAAACUAUAACUGACACUGAAGCACGAAAGCGUGGGGAUCAAACAGGAUUAGAUACCCUGGUAGUCCACGCAGUAAACGAUGAUUACUAGCUGUUUGCGAUACACAGUAAGCGACACAGCGAAAGCGUUAAGUAAUCCACCUGGGGAGUACGCCGGCAACGGUGAAACUCAAAGGAAUUGACGGGGGCCCGCACAAGCGGAGGAACAUGUGGUUUAAUUCGAUGAUACGCGAGGAACCUUACCCGGGUUUGAACGCAUUCGGACCGACUGUGAAAGCAGUCUUUCAGCAAUGACCGUUUGCGAGGUGCUGCAUGGUUGUCGUCAGCUCGUGCCGUGAGGUGUCGGCUUAAGUGCCAUAACGAGCGCAACCCUUAUCACUAGUUACUAACAGGUCAUGCUGAGGACUCUAGUGAGACUGCCAGCGUAAGCUGUGAGGAAGGUGGGGAUGACGUCAAAUCAGCACGGCCCUUACAUCCGGGGCGACACACGUGUUACAAUGGUGGGGACAAAGGGCAGCUACACAGCGAUGUGAUGCUAAUCUCCAAACCCCAUCUCAGUUCGGAUCGAAGUCUGCAACCCGACUUCGUGAAGCUGGAUUCGCUAGUAAUCGCGCAUCAGCCAUGGCGCGGUGAAUACGUUCCCGGGCCUUGUACACACCGCCCGUCAAGCCAUGGGAGUUGGGGGUACCUAAAGUCCGUAACCGUAAGGAUCGGCCUAGGGUAAAACCGAUGACUG
This 1436-nucleotide ribosomal RNA is filed under the name uncultured organism. RNAcentral's name for it is "SSU rRNA". It matches the Rfam family "Bacterial small subunit ribosomal RNA". The record is from RNAcentral.